RNAcentral lists this ribosomal RNA (479 nucleotides) under uncultured actinomycete. Its description in RNAcentral is "bacterial SSU rRNA". It matches the Rfam family "Bacterial small subunit ribosomal RNA", at positions 241 to 732 of the family's 1533-position model. The record is from RNAcentral. Lineage: Bacteria; Bacillati; Actinomycetota; Actinomycetes; Actinomycetales.
UCAGCUUGUUGGUGGGGUAAUGGCCUACCAAGGCGUCGACGGGUAGCCGGCCUGAGAGGGCGACCGGCCACACUGGGACUGAGACACGGCCCAGACUCCUACGGGAGGCAGCAGUGGGGAAUAUUGCGCAAUGGACGAAAGUCUGACGCAGCAACGCCGCGUGAGGGAUGACGGCCUUCGGGUUGUAAACCUCUUUCAGCAGGGACGAAGCGAGAGUGACGGUACCUGCAGAAGAAGGACCGGCCAACUACGUGCCAGCAGCCGCGGUAAUACGUAGGGUCCGAGCGUUGUCCGGAAUUAUUGGGCGUAAAGGGCUCGUAGGCGGUUCGUCACGUCGGGAGUGAAAACUCGGGGCUUAACCCCGAGCCUGCUUCUGAUACAGGCAGACUAGAGGUAGGCAGGGGAGAGCGGAACUCCUGGUGUAGCGGUGGAAUGCGCAGAUAUCAGGAAGAACACCGGUGGCGGAGGCGGCUCUCUGG